RNAcentral lists this ribosomal RNA (253 nucleotides) under uncultured bacterium. Its description in RNAcentral is "partial 16S ribosomal RNA". It matches the Rfam family "Bacterial small subunit ribosomal RNA", at positions 524 to 776 of the family's 1533-position model. The record is from RNAcentral.
UACAGAGACUGCAAGCGUUAUUCGGAUUCACUGGGCGUAAAGGGUGCGCAGGCGGUCGUGUGUGUCAGAUGUGAAAUCCCGGAGCUUACCUCCGGAACUGCGUCUGAAACUACACGACUAGAGCAUUGGAGAGGGAAGUGGAAUUCAUGGUGUAGCAGUGAAAUGCGUAGAUAUGCGGAGGAACACCGAUGGCGAAGGCAAUCCCCUGGGCCUGCACUGACGCUCAUGCACGAAAGCGUGGGGAGCAAACAGG